This 497-nucleotide ribosomal RNA is filed under the name uncultured bacterium. RNAcentral describes it as "partial 16S ribosomal RNA". It matches the Rfam family "Bacterial small subunit ribosomal RNA", at positions 28 to 507 of the family's 1533-position model. The record is from RNAcentral.
GAUGAACGCUGGCGGCGUGCCUAAUACAUGCAAGUCGAGCGAACGGACGAGAAGCUUGCUUCUCUGAUGUUAGCGGCGGACGGGUGAGUAACACGUGGAUAACCUACCUAUAAGACUGGGAUAACUUCGGGAAACCGGCGCUAAUACCGGAUAAUAUUUUGAACCGCAUGGUUCAAAAGUGAAAGACGGUCUUGCUGUCACUUAUAGAUGGAUCCGCGCUGCAUUAGCUAGUUGGUAAGGUAACGGCUUACCAAGGCAACGAUGCAUAGCCGACCUGAGAGGGUGAUCGGCCACACUGGAACUGAGACACGGUCCAGACUCCUACGGGAGGCAGCAGUAGGGAAUCUUCCGCAAUGGGCGAAAGCCUGACGGAGCAACGCCGCGUGAGUGAUGAAGGUCUUCGGAUCGUAAAGCUCUGUUAUUAGGGAAGAACAUAUGUGUAAGUAACUGUGCACAUCUUGACGGUACCUAAUCAGAAAGCCACGGCUAACUACGUG